CCAGGCCUGGGCGGCUCCCUUGGCAGGGAGGCCACAAUUGUUCUCCACAAGCACUUCCCCCAGCUGCCUGCAGAAGGCCAGGCAGUCACCCGGCCAGCCCUGGACUGCAGCUGCGGCCGCGCCCUAGGCGCAUCCUGGGCUGAGGCUGGAACGCUGAGACGGAGAGGGGAAAGAGAGAGAAAGUGUGAAGCGAGACUCAGAGACCCCAAGAGAGACCGAGGACCAGGGAUGGGCACCCCCAACCCCCACACCCACGCUCAGACGGGAGAGGGGAGCCCAGAUGGCGCCCCGGGACCCAGCUCCACCAGCACCUGCCAGGUAAACAGCUUGCACCUGGGGCACCAGCAGACAGGCGGAGAGUGGGCGGUCCAGCCCCAGGCCUGCCUGCUGAAGGGCCACAGGAGGCUGCUGCUGCAAAGCCUUCCUGAGCCCACGGCUCUGUCAGCCUGGCCAGGUAAGGGGCAGCCCAAAGAUGAACACGGGGCCUGAACUCUGCGCCCUGGAGCCGCCUUCUCACCCCCCGGAAGCUGGCCUGAGGUCAUGUGAUGCGAAGAUGCCUCACAGGGCCGUUUUCAGCAACAGGGAGCCAGAAGCAGGAGAAGCAGGACACAGCAGGACCGCGGCCCGGAGGGGAACAGGUGGCUCCCCUACGCAGGUUCUGCCUCACCAGCUACCUUUUUUUGAAUCAUGGUAAAAUACAUGUGACAUAAAAU
This 713-nucleotide long non-coding RNA is filed under the name Equus caballus (horse). RNAcentral describes it as "lncRNA (ENSECAG00000046676.1)". Lineage: Eukaryota; Metazoa; Chordata; Mammalia; Perissodactyla; Equidae. The record is from RNAcentral.